CCUACGGGUGGCAGCAGUGAGGAAUAUUGGUCAAUGGGCGGGAGCCUGAACCAGCCAAGUCGCGUGAGGGAAGACGGUCCUAUGGAUUGUAAACCUCUGUCAGCAGGGAAGAACGGUCACUGUGCUAAUCAGCAGUGGAUUGACGGUACCUGCAAAGGAAGCACCGGCUAACUCCGUGCCAGCAGCCGCGGUAAUACGGAGGGUGCGAGCGUUAAUCGGAAUUACUGGGCGUAAAGCGCUCGUAGGCGGUAUGUCAAGUCAAGGGUGAAAUCCCCGCGCUCAACGUGGGAACUGCCUUUGAAACUGGCAAACUGGAGUGUGUGAGAGGAUAGUGGAAUUCCAGGUGUAGGAGUGAAAUCCGUAGAUAUCUGGAGGAACAUCAGUGGCGAAGGCGACUAUCUGGCACAUAACUGACGCUGAGGAGCGAAAGCGUGGGUAGCAAACAGGAUUAGAUACCCUGGUAGUC
Molecule: ribosomal RNA, 466 nt
Filed under: uncultured bacterium
Lineage: Bacteria
Description: partial 16S ribosomal RNA
Rfam family: Bacterial small subunit ribosomal RNA
Source: RNAcentral